Molecule: ribosomal RNA, 253 nt
Filed under: uncultured bacterium
Lineage: Bacteria
Description: partial 16S ribosomal RNA
Rfam family: Bacterial small subunit ribosomal RNA
Source: RNAcentral
GACAGAGGCCUCGAGCGUUAGGCGGAAUCACUGGGCUUAAAGCGUGUGUAGGCGGGCCCGUAAGUGUCUUGUGAAAUCCCACGGCUCAACCGUGGAACUGCUGGGCAUACUGCGGGUCUUGGGCCAACUAGGGGCAGCCGGAACAAGCGGUGGAGCGGUGAAAUUCGUAGAUAUCGAGAGGAACACCAGUGGCGAAGGCGGCUUUCUGGACGAUCACUGACGCUGAGACGCGAAAGCGUGGGGAGCAAACAGG